UUUUACUCGACCGGUUCCACCAAGCCGUCGCAUUUCGAGACAUGGUCAUUGCGGUGCGGACGAAGAUUUCACAAAACCCGAGAAGCGACUACAGCUGCAAUGGAUACAAUGUCGUCAUCCAUACACGGAACCUGGACAGACCCAUCGUCGGCUCCGUCCUCCAGAGCAUGUGGGGCAUUGCGCCAACACACCUCGCUUGGAGCCUGCAGCACAAUAGCACGCUGGCGGAUUACACAUGGAGCGUCGGCCAGACCCCGUUUG
This 261-nucleotide unclassified non-coding RNA is filed under the name Hevea brasiliensis (rubber tree). Lineage: Eukaryota; Viridiplantae; Streptophyta; Magnoliopsida; Malpighiales; Euphorbiaceae. The record is from RNAcentral.